Molecule: ribosomal RNA, 312 nt
Filed under: uncultured bacterium
Lineage: Bacteria
Description: bacterial SSU rRNA
Rfam family: Bacterial small subunit ribosomal RNA
Source: RNAcentral
GGACGAACGCUGGCGGCGCGCCUAACACAUGCAAGUCGAACGGAGCUUUGAGAGCUUGCUUUUAAAGCUUAGUGGCGAACGGGUGAGUAACGCGUGAGUAACCUGCCCUGGAGUGGGGGACAACAGUUGGAAACGACUGCUAAUACCGCAUAAGCCCACGGCCCGGCAUCGGGCUGAGGGAAAAGGAUUUAUUCGCUUCAGGAUGGACUCGCGUCCAAUUAGCUAGUUGGUGAGGUAACGGCCCACCAAGGCGACGAUCAGUAGCCGGCCUGAGAGGGUGAACGGCCACAUUGGGACUGAGACACGGCCCAG